RNAcentral lists this ribosomal RNA (133 nucleotides) under uncultured bacterium. RNAcentral's name for it is "partial 16S ribosomal RNA". The record is from RNAcentral.
ACACCGCCGCCGUGAUUGAAAGGUUCCCCGCUCGUCAACUCUUCCUCCGAGAAAACACGGAUGAGAGUAACCGUUCUACCUCACGGUAUCUAACCAGAAAGCCACGGCUAACUACGUGCCAGAUCCGCGGUAA